UACGGAGGGUGCAAGCGUUAUCCGGAAUCAUUGGGUUUAAAGGGUCCGCAGGCGGAUUUAUAAGUCAGUGGUGAAAGCUCUCAGCUUAACUGAGAAACUGCCAUUGAUACUGUAAGUCUUGAAUUUGGUCGAAGUGGGCGGAAUAUGACAUGUAGCGGUGAAAUGCAUAGAUAUGUCAUAGAACACCGAUAGCGAAGGCAGCUCACUAGGCCAACAUUGACGCUCAUGGACGAAAGCGUGGGGAGCAAACAGG
This 253-nucleotide ribosomal RNA is filed under the name uncultured bacterium. Its description in RNAcentral is "partial 16S ribosomal RNA". It matches the Rfam family "Bacterial small subunit ribosomal RNA", at positions 524 to 776 of the family's 1533-position model. The record is from RNAcentral.